Molecule: ribosomal RNA, 433 nt
Filed under: uncultured bacterium
Lineage: Bacteria
Description: partial 16S ribosomal RNA
Rfam family: Bacterial small subunit ribosomal RNA
Source: RNAcentral
AACGAACGCUGGCGGCAUGCCUAACACAUGCAAGUCGAACGAGACCUUCGGGUCUAGUGGCGCACGGGUGCGUAACGCGUGGGAACCUGCCCUUAGGUUCGGAAUAACUCCCCGAAAGGGGUGCUAAUACCGGAUAAUGUCUUCGGACCAAAGAUUUAUCGCCUUUGGAUGGGCCCGCGUUGGAUUAGCUAGUUGGUAGGGUAAAAGCCUACCAAGGCGACGAUCCAUAGCUGGUCUGAGAGGAUGAUCAGCCACACUGGGACUGAGACGCGGCCCAGACUCCUACGGGAGGCAGCAGUGGGGAAUAUUGGACAAUGGGCGAAAGCAUGAUCCAGCAAUGCCGCGUGAGUGAUGAAGGCCUUAGGGUUGUAAAGCUCUUUUACCCGGGAUGAUAAUGACAGUACCGGGAGAAUAAGCUCCGGCUAACUCCGUG